CUUUAGAUUGCUAAUCUAACGUACGUUGUAAAAUGUACCGUGGGUUCGAAUCCCAUCCUCUCCU
RNAcentral lists this transfer RNA (64 nucleotides) under Phaeocystis cordata. Its description in RNAcentral is "partial tRNA-Ser". It matches the Rfam family "tRNA", at positions 24 to 71 of the family's 71-position model. From Rfam's summary of the family: Transfer RNA (tRNA) molecules are approximately 80 nucleotides in length. Their secondary structure includes four short double-helical elements and three loops (D, anti-codon, and T loops). The record is from RNAcentral. Lineage: Eukaryota; Haptophyta; Phaeocystales; Phaeocystaceae.